Molecule: ribosomal RNA, 801 nt
Filed under: Burkholderia cenocepacia
Lineage: Bacteria; Pseudomonadati; Pseudomonadota; Betaproteobacteria; Burkholderiales; Burkholderiaceae
Description: bacterial LSU rRNA
Rfam family: Bacterial large subunit ribosomal RNA
Source: RNAcentral
GUGUAGGAUAGGUGGGAGGCUAUGAAACCGGAACGCUAGUUUCGGUGGAGCCGUCCUUGAAAUACCACCCUGGUUUGUUUGAGGUUCUAACCUUGGCCCGUGAUCCGGGUCGGGGACAGUGCAUGGUAGGCAGUUUGACUGGGGCGGUCUCCUCCCAAAGCGUAACGGAGGAGUACGAAGGUACGCUAGGUACGGUCGGAAAUCGUGCUGAUAGUGCAAUGGCAUAAGCGUGCUUAACUGCGAGACCGACAAGUCGAGCAGGUGCGAAAGCAGGUCAUAGUGAUCCGGUGGUUCUGUAUGGAAGGGCCAUCGCUCAACGGAUAAAAGGUACUCUGGGGAUAACAGGCUGAUACCGCCCAAGAGUUCAUAUCGACGGCGGUGUUUGGCACCUCGAUGUCGGCUCAUCUCAUCCUGGGGCUGUAGCCGGUCCCAAGGGUAUGGCUGUUCGCCAUUUAAAGAGGUACGUGAGCUGGGUUUAAAACGUCGUGAGACAGUUUGGUCCCUAUCUGCCGUGGGCGUUGGAUAUUUGAAGGGGGCUGCUCCUAGUACGAGAGGACCGGAGUGGACGAACCUCUGGUGUACCGGUUGUCACGCCAGUGGCAUCGCCGGGUAGCUAUGUUCGGAAGAGAUAACCGCUGAAAGCAUCUAAGCGGGAAACUCGCCUUAAGAUGAGAUAUCCCUGGAGGCUAGACCUCCUUGAAGGGUCGUUCGAGACCAGGACGUUGAUAGGUCAGGUGUGUAAGCGCAGUAAUGCGUUCAGCUAACUGAUACUAAUUGCCCGUAAGGCUUGAUCCUAUAACA